ACUGCUCAGUAACACGUGGAUAACCUGCCCAAGGGUCCGGGAUAACCCCGGGAAACUGGGGAUAAUACCGGAUGGAUCACUUAUGCUGGAAUGCUUGGUGGUCGAAAGGUGACGCCCUUGGAUGGGUCUGCGGCGGAUUAGGUUGACGCCGGCGUAACGUACCGGCGUGCCUGUAAUCCGUACGGGUUGUGGGAGCAAGAGCCCGGAGAUGGAUUCUGAGACACGAAUCCAGGCCCUACGGGGCGCAGCAGGCGCGAAAACUCUACAAUGCAGGCAACUGCGAUAGGGGGACAUCGAGUGGCAUCCACCUUGGGUGCCUGUCCCACCGUCUAAAAAACGGUGGUUAGCAAGGGCCGGGCAAGACCGGUGCCAGCCGCCGCGGUAAUACCGGCGGCUCGAGUGGUGGCCGAUAUUAUUGAGUCUAAAGGGUCCGUAGCCGGCUUUGCAAGUCCCCUGGGAAAUCCAGCGGCUUAACCGUUGGGCUUUCAUGGGAUACUACAUUGCUUGGGACUGGGAGAGGUAGGAGGUACUCGGGGGGUAGGGGUGAAAUCCUGUAAUCCCCCGGGGACCACCGGUGGCGAAGGCGUCCUACCAGAACAGGUCCGACGGUGAGGGACGAAAGCUAGGGGCACGAACCGGAUUAGAUACCCGGGUAGUCCUAGCCGUAAACGAUGCCCGCUAGGUGUCACGGCGGUCGUGAAUCGCCGUGGUGCCGUAGGGAAGCCGCGAAGCGGGCCACUUGGGAAGUACGGCCGCAAGGCUGAAACUUAAAGGAAUUGGCGGGGGAGCAC
Molecule: ribosomal RNA, 791 nt
Filed under: uncultured euryarchaeote
Lineage: Archaea; Methanobacteriati; Methanobacteriota
Description: SSU rRNA
Rfam family: Archaeal small subunit ribosomal RNA
Source: RNAcentral